CCUCCUCCACUACUACCACCAGCCUUAGGAGGCUAAUGAGGAGGCAUAGAAGAGAGGAGACUCUUAUAUAGUCCAUAUAAUCCCAGGGACCUGUCAUAGGAGUUCAUGUAGGGGGAAUGUCAAAACAAAAACAAAAUAACCUUCCUGUUUGCCCAGCUGAUUGCUAUAGGGAGAGCUUACUUUUCCAUGAUAGAAAGGGAGCCCUUUAAGCAACUGAUACAGGCCCUUGUUCUGCAAUACAG
This is a non-coding RNA of Pelobates cultripes (western spadefoot toad), 242 nucleotides long. The record is from the annotation of a GenBank genome assembly. NCBI's taxonomy places the organism in Eukaryota, Metazoa, Chordata, Amphibia, Anura, Pelobatidae.